CAAUGAGGUGAGGUGGUAGACCCAUGGAUCCUAACAGUGUAUAAAGUGCUGAUCCAAUGAGGUGUGGUGGUAGACCCAUGGAUCCUAACAGUGUAUAAAGUGCUGAUCCAAUGAGGUGUGGUGGUAGACCCAUGGAUCCUAACAGUGUAGAAAGUGCUGAUCCAAUGAGGUGAGGUGGUGGACCCAUGGAUCCUAGCAGUGUAUAAAGUGCUGAUCCAAUGAGGUGUGGUGGUGGACCCAUGGAUCCUAGCAGUGUAGAAAGUGCUGAUCCAAUGAGGUGAGGUCGUGGACCCAUGGAUCCUAGCAGUGUAGAAAGUGCUGAUCCAAUGAGGUGAGGUGGUGCCAUCUUAGUUCCAAC
Oncorhynchus tshawytscha (Chinook salmon) is the source of this 358-nucleotide long non-coding RNA. Lineage: Eukaryota; Metazoa; Chordata; Actinopteri; Salmoniformes; Salmonidae. The record is from Ensembl.